RNAcentral lists this long non-coding RNA (944 nucleotides) under Heterocephalus glaber (naked mole-rat). Its description in RNAcentral is "lncRNA (ENSHGLG00000036684.1)". Lineage: Eukaryota; Metazoa; Chordata; Mammalia; Rodentia; Bathyergidae. The record is from RNAcentral.
GGUCACAAACCAAAUUGGACAAGAGCCAAAUCAAAUCCAAUGGUUAGGUUCAGUGUUCUCCUUACAGGGAAAUUUGAUCUGGUGCUGUGUGUCCUCUGGCCUCUGCAGGACCCGUCUGCGCAGAGCUUGGAGAUUUGUCUCUAAGCAGAGUCCGGGAUGGUGGCCCGUCCUGUCCGGCUCACCCAGGAGAAAGUGACGGGUGCCAUGGAGCAGGGGUUACGGCCAGGUCCUCAGCCGGCGUGCGGAGCCCUACCUCAGCAGGCAGGCGUGGGUGUGGGCCUGGCUCCAGUGCUGCCCUCUGCUGGUCCUGGGGAGCGGGACUGUGGCUGUGCACAGAGUGCACUGAGAGGGUUCCUGAGCGUCAGCGCCCCUGCCGCGGCCCAGGACUCCUGGGCUCCUCGCUUACCAUGUGCCGAGCCAGAUGCUGGAGGCGUAGGGGAGGCUGCCGCAGGGCUGGGCCUGAUGACCACCCACACAUCUGACGCCCCCUGGGCCCAAGUCCCCUGUACACCCCAGGGACCAUCUCUCCCUCUCUCAACUCCCUCUGUCUCGCUCUGGGUCCGUGUCCCCUGGCUUCACGGAUGUCUCCUUGCCCCUCCCGUAUGCUUGGGAAAAAGGCCUUCAAGCUCUGCACGGCGGGCCAGAGAAGCGGGACCCUUCCUCCACCCUGUCACCGGAUUUGUUCUCCCACUCUCUCCUGUCCUGGGCAGAGCUCACCUCUACUCUGCUGAGAACGAGGCCUCCGGGCGGGCUCACUUGCCUCAGUUCCGCUCUUUUGGCUGGAGCCCCCUGCCCUGAGCCUACCUUUCUCCGGGACCUUCUGGCUGGGCGGCGCCCCAGCUCUGGGGCUCUGGUGGCCCAUGGUCCCCAGGUCACCCCCACGCUGGAGAUGGGGAAACUGAGGUUCAAAGAGUUUAAGCAACGUGAUGGAGCCCAUUCAGUUA